AAGUCUUCGGACUUAGUGGCGCACGGGUGAGUAACAUGGGGGAAUCCACCUAAAGGUUCGGAAUAACUGCGGGAAACUGUAGCUAAUACCGGAUGUGUCCGCAAGGAGAAAGAUUUAUCGCCUUUAGAUGAGCCCGCACUAGAUUAGCUUGUUGGUGAGGUAACUGCUCCACCAAGGCUACGAUCUAUAGCUGAUUUGAGAGGAUGAUCAGCCACACUGGGACUGAGACACGGCCCAGACUCCUACGGGAGGCAGCAGUCGGGAAUAUUGGACAAUGGGGGAAACCCUGAUCCAGCAAUGCCGCGUGAGUGAAGAAGGCCCUCGGGUUGUAAAACUCUUUCAUCAAUGAAAAUAACGACAUUAAUUGAAGAAGAAGCUCCGGCUAACUCCGUGCCAGCAGCCGCGGUAAUACGGAGGGGGCUAGCGUUGUUCGGAAUUACUGGGCGUAAAGCGUAUGUAGGCGGAUCAAAAAGUUAGAUGUGAAAUCCCUGGGCUUAACCUAGGAACUGCAUUUAAAACUAGUGAUCUAGAAUUUGGUAGGGGUUAGUAGAAUUUCCAGUGUAGAGGUGAAAUUCGUAGAUAUUGGAAAGAAUACCAGUGGCGAAGGCGACUAACUGGGCCAUUUUUGACGCUGAGAUACGAAAGCGUGGGUAGCAAACAGGAUUAGAUACCCUGGUAGUCCACGCAGUAAACGAUGAGUGCUAGUCGCUGGGUCAAUAGAUUCAGUGUCGAAGCUAACGCAUUAAGCACUCCGCCUGGGAAGUACGGUCGCAAGAUUAAAACUCAAAUAAAUUGACGGGGGCCCGCACAAGCGGUGG
This 818-nucleotide ribosomal RNA is filed under the name uncultured marine bacterium. RNAcentral describes it as "bacterial SSU rRNA". It matches the Rfam family "Bacterial small subunit ribosomal RNA", at positions 69 to 935 of the family's 1533-position model. The record is from RNAcentral.